ACUCCUACGGGAGGCAGCAGUGGGGAAUAUUGCACAAUGGGGGAAACCCUGAUGCAGCCAUGCCGCGUGUGUGAAGAAGGCCUUCGGGUUGUAAAGCACUUUCAGUAGGGAGGAAGGUAGUGUAGUUAACACCUGCAUUAUUUGACGUUACCUACAGAAGAAGCACCGGCUAACUCCGUGCCAGCAGCCGCGGUAAGUACGGAGGGUGCGAGCGUUAAUCGGAAUUACUGGGCGUAAAGCGCAUGCAGGCGGCCUGUUAAGUCAGAUGUGAAAGCCCGGGGCUUAACCUCGGAAUUGCAUUUGAAACUGGCAGGCUAGAGUCUUGUAGAGGGGUUAGAAUUUCGAGGUGUAGCGGUGAAAUGCGUAGAGAUCUGAAGGAAUACCAGUGGCGAAGGCGGCCCCUGGACAAAGACUGACGCUCAGAUGCGAAAGCGUGGGAGCAAACGAGGAUUAGAUACCCCUGGUAGCGACUGA
Molecule: ribosomal RNA, 474 nt
Filed under: uncultured bacterium
Lineage: Bacteria
Description: bacterial SSU rRNA
Rfam family: Bacterial small subunit ribosomal RNA
Source: RNAcentral